Molecule: long non-coding RNA, 414 nt
Organism: Sciurus carolinensis (gray squirrel)
Lineage: Eukaryota; Metazoa; Chordata; Mammalia; Rodentia; Sciuridae
Exons: 3
Source: RefSeq, a predicted model, not a curated record
GGCAGGGCCAAGUUGCAAACACAGCCUUGGAGAUUCCGGAGGAAAACAAGCCCGCUUCCCCCUUGCCUGUGACUCAGACGUGGCAGACACAUUUGAGACCAUGAAGAACCCAGGCCGUUGUCAACUUAAUGAUAGAUGCCACAGUGACAGCAGUGAACAGCUAGACCAGAGAUGGGGAAGAGUCUCCAGGGAGAAAUAGUUGGGCACAUGGGAAAUAAAAAGUGAAGAAUCCACACGCGACUCCCUAAGGAGAAUCCUGUCACUGGCAUGUCCAGGGAAACUGACCUUCGCCAACCUUUCAGCCCGGCUGGCCAAGAGAGCGUGAUGUCCAUCAGACAGCUGCCCAGGCAUAUGGCCACAUUAGGACUUUCCUGGGCCCUGGGCACUUUGGCCUUCAUGGGUCCCUUUCUCCAU